GGGCUUUUCGUUUUCGUGCCGAGCGCCUAUAUCGGUCGUGCUCGCGGGGCUUGCCCCACGGCUAUGGCGAUAAACGCCGGCGAUUAAUAGGCGCAGCGGACCCGGGGGCAGUACCCGGCGGCUCCACCACCAACCGUCCUUGCGGGCGGAUGAUGACGGGGCCGAACCAGGAUCGACGUGUGUUGAAAAGCGCUGGCUUUUGCCCGGAAUGGGACCACCGUGACGGCCCGUACACAAGUGCCAACGACAACGAGGCGCUCGCGAUUGCCGCGUAAUCAGUGACCUAACGGUCUAGAUUACAAGGACAAAAGCGCGGUUGGGCCGCACCGGGCAACAGAAGCGGAUUCCA
This is a non-coding RNA of Sphingomonas sp. 67-36, 349 nucleotides long. The record is from Rfam. NCBI's taxonomy places the organism in Bacteria, Pseudomonadati, Pseudomonadota, Alphaproteobacteria, Sphingomonadales, Sphingomonadaceae.